RNAcentral lists this ribosomal RNA (253 nucleotides) under uncultured bacterium. Its description in RNAcentral is "partial 16S ribosomal RNA". It matches the Rfam family "Bacterial small subunit ribosomal RNA", at positions 524 to 776 of the family's 1533-position model. The record is from RNAcentral.
UACGGAGGUGGCAAGCGUUGCUCGGAAUCACUGGGCGUAAAGGGCGCGUAGGCGGGGAGGUAUGUCGGGUGUGAAAUCCCUCGGCCCAACCGAGGAACUGCGCCCGAGACUGCUUCUCUUGAGUCCCGGAGAGGAAGGUGGAAUUCCCGGUGUAGCGGUGAAAUGUGUAGAGAUCGGGAGGAACACCGGUGGCGAAGGCGGCCUUCUGGACGGUGACUGACGCUGAGGCGCGAAAGCGUGGGGAGCAAACGGG